This 381-nucleotide ribosomal RNA is filed under the name Triticum aestivum (bread wheat). Its description in RNAcentral is "partial small subunit ribosomal RNA". The record is from RNAcentral. Lineage: Eukaryota; Viridiplantae; Streptophyta; Magnoliopsida; Poales; Poaceae.
AUGACUAAGGAGGUGAUGUUGGCAUUCGAAAAAUAUGCUAAAAGAAGUACUAAUCUCACGGGUCUUGACUGGCAGAUUGAGGAAAUUUGUCACCAAUGCUUUAAUGUGGAAUACUAUCACAAAGUUUUCCACCAUUACAAUUUCACUGUAAAGAUUGAGAGCCCUAGGUCAAGUGAUCCCAGAGUGGCAUUGUUCUUCGCCGAAGUGAAAGAGAUAUUUGGAAGAAAAUACUAUUUCUGCUGCCCUCUAGAACCAAAUGAAAAUGGUCAGUGUUAUGCAUGCCAUAACGAAGGAUUUGAUGAUCUAAGGCAUCCAGCUACAGGUGGAUAUGACCAGGGUUCGAUGGAUAUGGCAUUCCCAUUUACUAAUAUGGAUUAUUGA